Molecule: non-coding RNA, 170 nt
Filed under: Olsenella sp. An188
Lineage: Bacteria; Bacillati; Actinomycetota; Coriobacteriia; Coriobacteriales; Atopobiaceae
Also listed under: 1 other name
Description: Lysine riboswitch aptamer
Rfam family: Lysine riboswitch aptamer
About the family: Riboswitches are metabolite binding domains within certain messenger RNAs that serve as precision sensors for their corresponding targets. Allosteric rearrangement of mRNA structure is mediated by ligand binding, and this results in modulation of gene expression.
Source: Rfam by way of RNAcentral
CCACUCGAUAGAGGCGCGGGCGAGAAGAUCCGCGGGCGAGCCGGCAGGCGUGGACCCCGCGGGGAGGCGAGCCCGCCGAACUCGGCGCGCGGGCGCGUGCGCACGGGUGGGCCUGCGGGGAACACCCGCAGGACUGUCUGCACGUAACCUGCAGGAGCGCUAUCAGGGAG